CUACGGGAUGCAGCAGUGAGGAAUAUUGCACAAUGGGGGGAACCCUGAUGCAGCAACGCCGCGUGGAGGAUGACGCGUUUCGGUGUGUAAACUCCUUUUAUAUGUCAAGAAAAUGACGGUAGCAUAUGAAUAAGCACCGGCUAACUCCGUGCCAGCAGCCGCGGUAAUACGGAGGGUGCAAGCGUUACUCGGAAUCACUGGGCGUAAAGGACGCGUAGGCGGGAUAUCAAGUCAGGUGUGAAAUCCUACAGCUUAACUGUAGAACUGCACUUGAAACUGGUAACCUAGAGUAUGGGAGGGGGAGAUGGAAUUAGUGGUGUAGGGGUAAAAUCCGUAGAUAUCACUAGGAAUACCUAAAGCGAAGGCGAUCUCCUGGAACAUUACUGACGCUAAGGCGUGAAAGCGUGGGGAGCAAACAGGAUUAGAUACCCGGGUAGUC
This 439-nucleotide ribosomal RNA is filed under the name uncultured bacterium. RNAcentral describes it as "partial 16S ribosomal RNA". It matches the Rfam family "Bacterial small subunit ribosomal RNA", at positions 339 to 795 of the family's 1533-position model. The record is from RNAcentral.